CAGUAGCCGCGGGAAUACGAAGGGGGCUAGCGUUGCUCGGAAUGACUGGGCGUAAAGGGCGCGUAGGCGGUUUGCACAGUCGGGUGUGAAAUUCCUGGGCUUAACCUGGGGGCUGCAUUCGAGACGUGUAGGCUUGAGUGGGGAAGAGGGUCGUGGAAUUCCCAGUGUAGAGGUGAAAUUCGUAGAUAUUGGGAAGAACACCGGUGGCGAAGGCGGCGACCUGGUCCUUUACUGACGCUGAGGCGCGAAGGCGUGGGGAGCAAACAGGAUUAGAUACCCCAGUAGUCCCUGUCUCUUAUAC
Molecule: ribosomal RNA, 301 nt
Filed under: uncultured bacterium
Lineage: Bacteria
Description: partial 16S ribosomal RNA
Rfam family: Bacterial small subunit ribosomal RNA
Source: RNAcentral